GGCCGCCUGGCGAAAUGGUAUCGCGUCUGACUACGAUUUCGUAGCUUAUCAGGAGAUUGCAGGUUCGAGCCCUGCGGUGGUCA
RNAcentral lists this transfer RNA (83 nucleotides) under Fomitiporia mediterranea MF3/22. It matches the Rfam family "tRNA". Rfam says of the family: Transfer RNA (tRNA) molecules are approximately 80 nucleotides in length. The record is from Rfam by way of RNAcentral. Lineage: Eukaryota; Fungi; Basidiomycota; Agaricomycetes; Hymenochaetales; Hymenochaetaceae.